Molecule: ribosomal RNA, 260 nt
Filed under: uncultured bacterium
Lineage: Bacteria
Description: partial 16S ribosomal RNA
Rfam family: Bacterial small subunit ribosomal RNA
Source: RNAcentral
AACGGGGGGAACUAGCGUUAUUCGUCGUGACUGGGCGUAAAGGGUAUGUAGAUGGCAUUUUUAGAAAAGGGUGAAAGAGCAGAAGGUCCGUUUCUAAUCCGCCCUUGCAACUAAUUUGCUAGAGUUUGGUAUAGGGUUGAGGUAUCUUUGGGGACUAAUGAUGAAAUGUGUGUAGUCCGACUAGUGACCGCCAACGGGCGAAGGCGUUAACCUAGAUCAUUCUGACAUUGAGGUACUAAAGCAUGCUGGUAGCAAACGGG